This 550-nucleotide ribosomal RNA is filed under the name uncultured bacterium. RNAcentral describes it as "bacterial SSU rRNA". It matches the Rfam family "Bacterial small subunit ribosomal RNA", at positions 355 to 895 of the family's 1533-position model. The record is from RNAcentral.
UAGGGAAUCUUCGGCAAUGGACGGAAUUNUGGACCGAGCAACCNCACGUGAGUGAAGAAGGUUUUCGGAUCGUAAAGCUCUGUUGUAAGAGAAGAACGAGUGUGAGAGUGGAAAGUUCACACUGUGACGGUAUCUUACCAGAAAGGGACGGCUAACUACGUGCCAGCAGCCGCGGUAAUACGUAGGUCCCGAGCGUUGUCCGGAUUUAUUGGGCGUAAAGCGAGCGCAGGCGGUUAGAUAAGUCUGAAGUUAAAGGCUGUGGCUUAACCAUAGUACGCUUUGGAAACUGUUUAACUUGAGUGCAAGAGGGGAGAGUGGAAUUCCAUGUGUAGCGGUGAAAUGCGUAGAUAUAUGGAGGAACACCGGUGGCGAAAGCGGCUCUCUGGCUUGUAACUGACGCUGAGGCUCGAAAGCGUGGGGAGCAAACAGGAUUAGAUACCCUGGUAGUCCACGCCGUAAACGAUGAGUGCUAGGUGUUAGACCCUUUCCGGGGUUUAGUGCCGCAGCUAACGCAUUAAGCACUCCGCCUGGGGAGUACGACCGCAAGNUG